ACGGGGUCCAGACUUGUUGAACCCAGUUUGGUCUCGCAAAAGGGAAGCACGCGCAGCUGGACUAAAGGUUGAAAGCGCAGUUGAAUUUGCGCAAGCAUAGGGGACGUUUUGGAGCACCAUUCGCAGAGUUGGGGCGAUGCACAACGUAAAUCGUGUUGACUAAACGAGCCAACAAAAAUGACAGCGGGUGUACAACUACGAAUCUCGGUCGUAUAUUCGAAACUGAACCCUUUCGUCAGUGUAGUCCGACGGCCAUGAAUCUUGAUGAAAACAAUCUUGACAAUAAAUAGGUAUGCAGAGAAAGAUAGGACAUAUGUUUACUUAUUAAUAAACGUGAAAAAAAAACA
Long non-coding RNA from Daphnia magna, 347 nucleotides. RefSeq lists it as uncharacterized. The transcript has 2 exons. The record is from RefSeq and is a predicted model, not a curated record. Lineage: Eukaryota; Metazoa; Arthropoda; Branchiopoda; Diplostraca; Daphniidae.